GGAGCUCCCCCAUUUCUAUAAGAUUGUAUUAGGGUUGAAUGAAGCUUUGUUUAUAUAUUGAUAAUGACAGUAUAUAUAUCGUGUCUUGACUAAUUGCGUGCCAGCAGUCGCGGUAAUACGUAAGAGACUAGUGUUAUUCAUCUUAAUUAGGUUUAAAGGGUACCCAGACGGUCAAUAUAGCUUCUAAAAUGUUAGUACUUGACUAGAGUUUUAUGUAAGAGGGCAGUACUUGAGGAGGAGAGAUGAAAUUCCGUGAUACCAAAGGGACUCUGUAAAGGCGAAGGCAGCCCUCUAUGUAAAAACUGACGUUGAAGGACGAAGGCACAAAGAACAAACAGGAUUAGAUACCCAAGUAGUCUUUGCAGUAAAUGAUGAAUGCCAUAGGUCAAAUUAAUGUAGAUGAGGGACUAGACAUUAAACGUUAUUUGGUCUAUAAAUGAAAGUGUAAAACCCUUCCACCUCAAGAGUAAUGGUGC
This 476-nucleotide ribosomal RNA is filed under the name Fusarium oxysporum f. sp. ciceris. Its description in RNAcentral is "SSU rRNA". It matches the Rfam family "Bacterial small subunit ribosomal RNA", at positions 388 to 889 of the family's 1533-position model. The record is from RNAcentral. Lineage: Eukaryota; Fungi; Ascomycota; Sordariomycetes; Hypocreales; Nectriaceae.